This 947-nucleotide ribosomal RNA is filed under the name uncultured bacterium. Its description in RNAcentral is "bacterial SSU rRNA". It matches the Rfam family "Bacterial small subunit ribosomal RNA", at positions 521 to 1482 of the family's 1533-position model. The record is from RNAcentral.
UAAUACGGAGGGUGCAAGCGUUAUCCGGAUUUAUUGGGUUUAAAGGGUCCGUAGGCGGGCCGAUAAGUCAGUGGUGAAAUCUCGCAGCUUAACUGUGAAACUGCCAUUGAUACUGUUGGUCUUGAGUAAAUUUGAAGUGGCUGGAAUAAGUAGUGUAGCGGUGAAAUGCAUAGAUAUUACUUAGAACACCAAUUGCGAAGGCAGGUCACUAAGAUUUAACUGACGCUGAUGGACGAAAGCGAGGGUAGCGAACAGGAUUAGAUACCCUGGUAGUCCACGCCGUAAACGAUGCUAACUCGUUUUUGGGCACUUGUGCUCAGAGACCAAGCGAAAGUGAUAAGUUAGCCACCUGGGGAGUACGAUCGCAAGAUUGAAACUCAAAGGAAUUGACGGGGGCCCGCACAAGCGGUGGAUUAUGUGGUUUAAUUCGAUGAUACGCGAGGAACCUUACCAAGACUUAAAUGGGAAUUGACAGAUUUAGAAAUAGAUCCUCCUUCGGGCAAUUUUCAAGGUGCUGCAUGGUUGUCGUCAGCUCGUGCCGUGAGGUGUUAGGUUAAGUCCUGCAACGAGCGCAACCCCUGUCACUAGUUGCUACCAUUCAGUUGAGGACUCUAGUGAGACUGCCUACGCAAGUAGAGAGGAAGGUGGGGAUGACGUCAAAUCAUCACGGCCCUUACGUCUUGGGCCACACACGUAAUACAAUGGCCGGUACAGAGGGCAGCUACACAGCGAUGUGAUGCGAAUCUCGAAAGCCGGUCUCAGUUCGGAUUGGAGUCUGCAACUCGACUCUAUGAAGCUGGAAUCGCUAGUAAUCGCGCAUCAGCCAUGGCGCGGUGAAUACGUUCCCGGGCCUUGUACACACCGCCCGUCAAGCCAUGGAAGCUGGGGGUACCUGAAGUCGGUGACCGUAAAAGGAGCUGCCUAGGGUAAAACUGGUAACUAGGGCU